RNAcentral lists this ribosomal RNA (287 nucleotides) under uncultured bacterium. RNAcentral's name for it is "partial 16S ribosomal RNA". It matches the Rfam family "Bacterial small subunit ribosomal RNA", at positions 333 to 612 of the family's 1533-position model. The record is from RNAcentral.
UCAAGCCUACGGGGGGCAGCAGUAGGGAAUUUUCGUCAAUGGGCGCAAGCCUGAACGAGCAAUGCCGCGUGAACGAGGAAGGUCUUCGGAUCGUAAAGUUCUGUUGAAGGGGAAAAAGAGCGGAGAGAGGAAAUGGUCUCCGAUUGAUAUUACCCUUCGAGGAAGUCACGGCUAACUACGUGCCAGCAGCCGCGGUAAUACGUAGGUGGCGAGCGUUAUCCGGAAUGAUUGGGCGUAAAGGGUGCGCAGGCGGCGUGGCAAGUCUGAGGUGAAAGGGACGGGCUCAA